ACUGCAUGGUAUGGGCAUUUACAUAUGAGAUCCUUCAAUCUUUCCCAUGUCUCAUGAAAUAUUUCUUUAUCCAGUUGGAAAAAGUUAGUGAUGGUUUUUCUAAUUU
Small nucleolar RNA from Elaeis guineensis (African oil palm), 106 nucleotides. The record is from RefSeq and is a predicted model, not a curated record. Lineage: Eukaryota; Viridiplantae; Streptophyta; Magnoliopsida; Arecales; Arecaceae.